Molecule: ribosomal RNA, 1224 nt
Filed under: Triticum aestivum (bread wheat)
Lineage: Eukaryota; Viridiplantae; Streptophyta; Magnoliopsida; Poales; Poaceae
Description: partial small subunit ribosomal RNA
Source: RNAcentral
AUGAAGAUCGCGGUGGAGGGAUGCAUGCACGGGGAGCUGGACAAGGUCUACGACACGAUGCAGCGGCUCGAGGCGGCCGAGGGCAUCAAGAUCGACCUCCUCAUCUGCUGCGGCGACUUCCAGGCUGUAAGGAAUGAGAGUGAUUUACAGUGUGUAAAUGUCCCACCAAAGUUUCGUACCAUGAACUCGUUUUGGAAGUACUACUCUGGGCAAGCAGUUGCCCCAUACCCAACUAUCUUCAUCGGCGGGAAUCAUGAAGCAGCCAAUUAUUUGUGGGAACUGUACUAUGGAGGAUGGGCAGCACCUAACAUCUACUUCUUGGGGUUUGCUGGUGUUGUUAAGUUUGGAAAUAUUCGAAUUGGUGGAAUGUCAGGAAUACAUAAGCAACAUGAUUAUUACCGAGGACACCAUGAGAGGCCUCCAUACGAUAAUGCUACUAUACGAUCAGUGUACCAUGUAAGGCAUUACGAUGUUCUCAAGCUAAUGCAUGUGAAGGAGCCUCUAGAUAUAUUCAUGUCACAUGAUUGGCCUCUUGGCAUUACUGAAUAUGGAAACCGGGAGAGGCUCCUUCGAGAGAAACCGUUCUUCAAAGAAGAGGUCAACGAGAGAACAUUAGGCAGUGAAUCUGCAGCAAAAUUACUGAACAAAUUAAAACCACCGUACUGGUUUUCAGCUCAUCUUCAUUGUAGAUUUCCAGCUAUCAUUCAACAUGGCGAGGAUGGACCUACGACUAAGUUUCUUGCUCUUGAUAAGUGCCUUCCCGGGCGGAAUUUUUUGCAGGUAAUAGACAUUCCAUCCAAUCCGGGACCAUAUGAAAUUCAGUAUGAUGAAGAAUGGCUUGCAAUAACACGGAGAUUCAAUAGUGCUUUCCCCUUAACUCGGAUGCCAUGUACAAUUCGGAAUGAAGAACUUGAUAUUGAAGAUGACCGGCAGUGGGUUAGGAGCAAGUUGAAUGCUAGAGGGGCUAAGACAUUUGAUUUUGCCCAGACUGCUCCACCUUAUGAUCCGUCCAGGCCAAUUUAUAACCCCCCCAUAGCAGUUCCUUGCAGAAACCCACAAACUGAAUCAUUUCUCCAGUUUUUAGAGCUCCCAUAUCUGCUGGACUCGUCUAAUCCUGGCGGUGUUGAUAUAAAUGUAUCGAGCUCUCAGGCAGCACCUGCACUUGACAACGACGACAUAGAGCUCCCCGAUGAAGUUGAAGACGACGAAGAUGAUGAGGAGUGA